UACGUAGGGUGCGAGCGUUGUCCGGAAUUACUGGGCGUAAAGAGCUCGUAGGUGGUUUGUCGCGUUGUUCGUGAAAACCGGGGGCUUAACCCUCGGCGUGCGGGCGAUACGGGCAGACUUGAGUACUGCAGGGGAGACUGGAAUUCCUGGUGUAGCGGUGGAAUGCGCAGAUAUCAGGAGGAACACCAGCGGCGAAGGCGGUGCUCUGGGCCGGAACUGACGCUGAGGAGCGAAAGCGUGGGGAGCGAACAGG
This 253-nucleotide ribosomal RNA is filed under the name uncultured bacterium. RNAcentral describes it as "partial 16S ribosomal RNA". It matches the Rfam family "Bacterial small subunit ribosomal RNA", at positions 524 to 776 of the family's 1533-position model. The record is from RNAcentral.